RNAcentral lists this ribosomal RNA (496 nucleotides) under uncultured bacterium. RNAcentral's name for it is "bacterial SSU rRNA". It matches the Rfam family "Bacterial small subunit ribosomal RNA", at positions 29 to 518 of the family's 1533-position model. The record is from RNAcentral.
AUGAACGCUAGCGACAGGCUUAACACAUGCAAGUCGAGGGGUAACAGGGUAGCAAUACCGCUGACGACCGGCGCACGGGUGAGUAACGCGUAUGCAACCUGCCUAUAACUGGGGAAUAGCUCCCUGAAAGGGGAAUUAACACCGCAUAACACUAUUGAUUCGCAUGGAUUAGUAGUUAAAUGUAGCGAUACAGGUUAUAGAUGGGCAUGCGUGACAUUAGCUAGUUGGUGAGGUAACGGCUCACCAAGGCUACGAUGUCUAGGGGUUCUGAGAGGAAGGUCCCCCACACUGGUACUGAGACACGGACCAGACUCCUACGGGAGGCAGCAGUGAGGAAUAUUGGUCAAUGGGCGCAAGCCUGAACCAGCCAUGUCGCGUGCAGGAAGACUGCCCUAUGGGUUGUAAACUGCUUUUAUAGUAGAAGAAACACAUCUACGUGUAGAUGUCUGCCAGUAUACUAUGAAUAAGCAUCGGCUAACUCCGUGCCAGCAGCCGC